Cherax quadricarinatus is the source of this 534-nucleotide non-coding RNA. Lineage: Eukaryota; Metazoa; Arthropoda; Malacostraca; Decapoda; Parastacidae. The record is from RefSeq and is a predicted model, not a curated record.
CGGGGAUAAGAGAGAGUGAAUCACCUGGCAGCCGUCAUGACUGUGUAAUGUUUUGAGCUGACACAGCUGACACAGCUGACACGGGACAUCCACGGCUCUUAUUAUACCCAAAAAGACAGCCAGAAGCGCCAUGUCUCCCCAGAACCACGAGCAAGUUGUCUCCCAGGCGGUGGAUAACAGGUAUCAAAAUGCAGAGAAGACGAAGGCAGACGUCAUGACGGCCCUUCAUAAUUACCGAGGACUGUCUCCGAGGCUUGAUAAAUUUGUUUUUAAUGAUGGGCACGAUCGGGAGUUGUUGAACCUAGAUGGGACGAUCCCAGUCCGUUACAAAGGUGAGGGAGCAUAGUAGCAACACCACUGACAUUCACAUGGCUUGAGGGUUGGCAGUGUACCAUCCUUGGUUUGAGAAGUACAAUUUGUUGCAUUUUGAGAAGUUUGAGCUGGCUAUCUAGCUUAUUCAAAGGGUGUGCGAGAGUGUAGUCAUGAGCAAACUUCUCAAGCCUCAAGAUGGACUGUCAUCUUGUAAGUGGUUUA